RNAcentral lists this ribosomal RNA (379 nucleotides) under uncultured organism. Its description in RNAcentral is "partial 16S ribosomal RNA". It matches the Rfam family "Bacterial small subunit ribosomal RNA", at positions 524 to 897 of the family's 1533-position model. The record is from RNAcentral.
GGGAGGGGGGGCUAGCGUUGUUCAGAAUUACUGGGCGUAAAGGGCGCGUAGGGCGGCCUGCCAAGUCAGGGGGGUGAAAGGGCCCGGGGCUCAACCCGGGAACUGCCCUUGAAACUGGCAAGCUAGAGUCCGAGAGAGGAUGGCGGAAUUCCCAGUGUAGAGGUGAAAUUCGUAGAUAUUGGGAAGAACACCGGUGGCGAAGGCGGCCAUCUGGCUCGGUACUGACGCUGAGGCGCGAAAGCGUGGGGAGCAAACAGGAUUAGAUACCCUGGUAGUCCACGCCGUAAACGAUGUGUGCUAGACGUUGGAGGUCUUAGGCCUUCGGUGUCGCAGCUAACGCGUUAAGCACACCGCCUGGGGAGUACGGCCGCAAGGUUAA